This 995-nucleotide ribosomal RNA is filed under the name uncultured Basidiomycota. RNAcentral describes it as "eukaryotic LSU rRNA". The stretch from base 339 to 995 matches the Rfam family "Eukaryotic large subunit ribosomal RNA", at positions 1 to 664 of the family's 3401-position model. Lineage: Eukaryota; Fungi; Basidiomycota. The record is from RNAcentral.
AUCGAUGAAGAACGCAGCGAAAUGCGAUAAGUAAUGUGAAUUGCAGAAUUCAGUGAAUCAUCGAAUCUUUGAACGCACCUUGCGCUCUCUGGUAUUCCGGAGAGCACGCCUGUUCGAGUGUCAUGAAACUCUCAAGCAGAAUUGGACUUUAUUGUCUAAUUCUUGUUUGGAUUUGGACUCUUGCCGCGUUACUGCGGCUGGUCUUAAAAGUAUUAGCUGGUCUGUAAGAACCUUGGGUUUGACUUGGCGUGAUAAAUAUUCGCUGAGGACACUUUGGUGGCCUAAUUUCUUACUGGAUUGCUUCUAAUCGUCUUUACCGACAACUUAUAUUUCAAAUCUGACCUCGAAUCAGGUGGGACUACCCGCUGAACUUAAGCAUAUCAAUAAGCGGAGGAAAAGAAACUAACAAGGAUUCCCCUAGUAACGGCGAGUGAAGCGGGAUGAGCUCAAAUUUAAAAUCUGGUGGUCUUUGGCCAUCCGAGUUGUAAUCUAGAGAAGUGUUUUCCGUGCUGGACCGUGUACAAGUUUCCUGGAACGGAACGUCAUAGAGGGUGAGAAUCCCGUCCUUGACACGGACUACCAGUGCUCUGUGAUGCACUCUCAACGAGUCGAGUUGUUUGGGAUUGCAGCUCAAAAUGGGAGGUAAAUUCCUUCUAAAGCUAAAUAUUGGCGAGAGACCGAUAGCGAACAAGUACCGUGAGGGAAAGAUGAAAAGCACUUUGGAAAGAGAGUUAAACAGUACGUGAAAUUGUUAAAAGGGAAACGAUUGAAGUCAGUCGCGUCUGCUUGGACUCAGCCUUACCUCGGUUUGGUGCAUUUCCUUGUAGACGGGCCAGCGUCAAUGUUGCUUACUGGAAAAGGGUUAAAGGAAUGUGGCUCUUUCGGGAGUGUUAUAGCCUUUGAUCGUAUACAGCGAGUGAUAUUGAGUGGUACAGCAUGCUUCGGCGGUGCUUGUGCUGGCAUAAUGGCUUUAAACGACCCGUCUUGAAACACGG